This 228-nucleotide ribosomal RNA is filed under the name uncultured bacterium. RNAcentral's name for it is "partial 16S ribosomal RNA". It matches the Rfam family "Bacterial small subunit ribosomal RNA", at positions 568 to 795 of the family's 1533-position model. The record is from RNAcentral.
UACGUAGGCGGUAAAUUCAGUCAGUGGUGAAAUCCUGCAGCUUAACUGUAGAACUGUCAUUGAUACUGGUUUUCUUGAAUACAGUUGAGGUAGGCGGAAUGUGUAAUGUAGCGGUGAAAUGCUUAGAUAUUACACAGAACACCGAUUGCGAAGGCAGCUUACUAAACUGUUAUUGACGCUGAGGUACGAAAGCGUGGGGAGCGAACAGGAUUACAUACCCUGGUAGUC